Molecule: long non-coding RNA, 2573 nt
Filed under: Equus caballus (horse)
Lineage: Eukaryota; Metazoa; Chordata; Mammalia; Perissodactyla; Equidae
Description: lncRNA (ENSECAG00000058659.1)
Source: RNAcentral
AUUAAAAUGUAUUUGUGCCUUUGCAUUAGCAUGACUUUCUGCUUUAUUAAAAGAAAAAAUACAACUGCAAACUUUAUUGAUAGAUUUUGCUUAUAUCUAUAACACUAGAAUGAUACUCUAAUUUACAUUCAGUGGACAAACUCAAUUCCAACUACUUUACCUUGCAUACAAAAUCUAAAUAUAGCAGCUGAUACUGUGUAACUUAUUUCCACUCAUGACAAAAUAAUUCUUUUGAUGCCUACACAAAAGAUACUUAAUUUGUUCUGUAUUGUUGUUCUAGACAAUAAAUACGUUCUAGAUUUUGUUGAAAUUGAGUUUUACCAGUUGUAAGACACAGAAAACAUGACUUUUUAAGGCAGAGUAAAUUAUUAUGGUGUCACUUGGGUCUACAUUAUUCUUGUUACAUAUUCAAUUUGGGAUCAUAAAUCGUCUUUUAUUGUUGAUGGUAAGAUAAUCACUGAUGAAAAUAUCUGAAACUAAAGAGACGGAAAGAAUAAUCUCCAUUUCUUAAUUUAAGGAAUAUUGGAAUAGCAUAUUACAAUUACUUGUUCAAUUUGCAAGUGUCUUUUUCAUAGAGAAUAAUGUAGAUGCUCUAUUUCAACCCCUCAUGGAGGUCUUUUUCAUAAUCAUAUCCAGAGUGCUUAUUCAAGAAACUUUAUGAGUAGGUGAAGAUAUUUUUUUAAAUAAGAUUGUUUGCAUUAUUUAUCUUUAGAAAGAAAAGUUUUGCAUCUUUUUGUUAAUCCUUUGAACCAUUCUUACAUCCUCUCUCAAAUUGCAAUUGCAAAUGGAUAUAUUAACAUGUGCUAAAAUUAGACUGUGGAAGAUCACAGAAAUGAAGUACUUCCAUCAGAAAAUGAAAUCUUUCGAGAAAGUAUUCUGCUCGUGGGCUUAAUAAUGCUCUGAGAUAAAACAAUUAUAUACGUAAAUGAGACAGUUAUACAAAGGCCUAGACAUAGUAGUUGCUGAACAAAUAAAAUUUACUUCCAGGUCCCUCCUCUCCUUUUUUGAAAUUUCCAUUUACCCAUGGAGAUGCAGCUAUUUCACAACAUUAUACAAGAAUGCUAAUAGAUUAAUUAUUUCCCCUUAUAUGAAAGUCAAAUUAUAUAUAAUACUUAAUAUUUAUUUAAUAACAUACUUAAUAUUCUUAUAAAAAUAGUUCAUUAUUCACUAUAGGAUUUUAUCAAUAACUUAAAUACAUUAGUAGGUACCACCUCUUUAAUUCUUUUUUAUAAUUUUCAGGAUUUUGGCCAUAUGAUGUAUAAUUAUUAAUAUAAAAAUUGCCCAUAUAAGUGAAAUAUUGCCACUUCUUUUUAUUUCUUUUUUCCUGAAAUGAAAGCAUAUAUCUUUUAGCAUCUAAUUUUAGCCUUCCUUGGAAAAGAAUAAGCGAAACAAUGACGGGUGGAAAAUUUCACAUCACAAGCAGGCAUAGGGGAAUAGAGGAACAGGGAACUGAAAGAAUCGAGAAAGGCAAGGUGAGCUACAUUUUGUUUAGGUAAGAAGGACCUCAGUGUGCGAUGUGCUGGACCACGGAUUGGGUCCAUCCCUAAGAUGAAAAUUAAGGCCAAUUACACUGAUGCAAAGGAGAGAGCUUAGUGAAAUCCAGAGAAGAAAGUUAACAAAUAGAACCUAGGAUUCAAUUUUGCAACUAGGAUUUCUUAGAGAACAACGUGCGUUAUAUACAAUAAAUGAUUCUGUUAAGAGCAAAUAUAUUUGUUCCAAUUCUUAAAGGAAUGUUCAUGGUUUAGCACUUGCCUCUAAACUCUACUAGGAAUAUGUGAACUUAGAAAUAAAAGUUAAAAAACCUUUUUUGUUGGUAUGUGAAUUCUAUGCUGUGUUCAGUAUGCAUUAAAACAUACUAUCUUUUAUUUUCUUGAACUUAUAUAUUCCAUGCAAUUUCUAUAUUUUUAAGCUAGCUAUCUCAGUUUUCUUAUUGUUUCAAUAUAGUAUGUCCCUAUGAAAUGCUGUAUAUAUAUGUCUAAACUGUAAAAAUUAUUCUGCAAAUGUUGAAGUUUUGUAUUUAUGAGAGACAUUGAAAGUAUGGCUUACAGUAUAUCAAAAUUGUCACUCUUCACCAUUUGUAUAUUAAUAGUAAAGAGACUUUUACUUUAAUAAAGUGUUGCAUUUUCUGUUUAUUUUGAAUAAGAUCUCUGCGAUGAGUGAGCCUAUGACUUGAGAAAUACUUUCAGUUUUUAAAAUUUCCUGAACAAAUCUCUAUAUAUUUAAAAGAAAAGAAGGCUUUCUGCCAUCUUGCCUCAUCCUGAGUCACAAUCUUUUGGCUUCUACAUGGUGCCCAAUAAGUUUACUGAAUUUACAGUUUAUAUUUACGUUAGAGUGUAAUUAAUAAACAGUUGGUAAGAGCAGUGGUUCUCAAAAUAUGGCCCCCAGACCAGUAGCAUCAGAGCCACCUGGGAACUUAGAAAUGUAAAUUUCUGGACUCCACCACAGACCUACUAAAUCAGAAGUAUCUGAAAGAGGGGCCCAGGAGUCUGUGUUUUAACAAGCCUUUCUAGUAAUUCUGGUGAAUACAGAAAUUUGAGAUCCACUGGGUUGGAGACACAUUUUGAGUGACAAGC